RNAcentral lists this ribosomal RNA (492 nucleotides) under uncultured bacterium. RNAcentral describes it as "partial 16S ribosomal RNA". It matches the Rfam family "Bacterial small subunit ribosomal RNA", at positions 29 to 507 of the family's 1533-position model. The record is from RNAcentral.
AGUGAACGCUGGCGGUAGGCCUAACACAUGCAAGUCGAACGGCAGCACAGUAAGAGCUUGCUCUUACGGGUGGCGAGUGGCGGACGGGUGAGGAAUACAUCGGAAUCUACUUUUUCGUGGGGGAUAACGUAGGGAAACUUACGCUAAUACCGCAUACGACCUACGGGUGAAAGCAGGGGAUCUUCGGACCUUGCGCGAUUGAAUGAGCCGAUGUCGGAUUAGCUAGUUGGCGGGGUAAAGGCCCACCAAGGCGACGAUCCGUAGCUGGUCUGAGAGGAUGAUCAGCCACACUGGAACUGAGACACGGUCCAGACUCCUACGGGAGGCAGCAGUGGGGAAUAUUGGACAAUGGGCGCAAGCCUGAUCCAGCCAUACCGCGUGGGUGAAGAAGGCCUUCGGGUUGUAAAGCCCUUUUGUUGGGAAAGAAAAGCAGCAGGUUAAUACCCCGCUGUUCUGACGGUACGCAAAGAAUAAGCACCGGCUAACUUCGUG